UUCACAUUUCACUCUCUCAAUCUUCUUUAAGGAGCAUUCUCUGGACUUAAGAGCUUUCCCUCUAGAGUCCUAAGUGCUCACCAAGAUCUAGUAAGUCUUUCCUAUAGUUAAAUUUCAGUUUAGCAUUUCAAUUUUAUCCGAAAGUCAAGCACUUUAACUUUUGCUUUGAUUUUCGGUUCUAACCAUUUUGGUCAAAUCAAAGUUCAAUUAAAAUUUCCCACGUGAUCAUUAUAUCAUAGGGUAUAAUUACCUGCAAUUAUAUCCCGUGAUCAUCACGUUCAAGUGGGUCAAUUGACGAGUCAAACAUGUAUUAAAAGUCAAAACACAGCUUUAUGCAUUUUGCGGCAAAUGAACUUUUAAGUAUUAUAACCAAAAGUUUUGAUACCAAAUCAGUUUAUAUAACAUAAUAAAAAUGUAUUUUGAUAUGUCUGACUCAUCGUAGACCUAUUAGGCCACCCGAACCCGUUUCUAUGUGCGCGACUAGUUAAAAUGGCAUAAACCAUAUAAACUAGUCGUAUCAGGUAAAACCUUUUCAAAUUGGAAUGCUUGGUUAAAUAACCCGUAUUACACAAGAUUUCUCACUCGAACGGGUAUAAACCACAUUCUAUCCGAUCAACGCUUAAUCUAGCAGAAGCGAGCGUAGUUAACGGGUCAAAGUCAAAAGACUUAUCAAUGACCAGUAAACAUUCUAACGGAUAAUAUAAACAUUCUAACGGAUAAUAUUUCUGUUCAUUCUGGACUAUAGAGCCCUCUAGAUAAUUGCAUCUAGGAUUAAUAAACUUUGAAUAUGGCUUUGCUACGAGAAUCAAAUACACUGUUUUAAAAAUCUAGUAAAGGUAAAUACUUUUAGCCUAUUUUAUUUAUAAAACUUGGGAUAUGGCAUUAGCCACUUGGAGCGGGUAUUAAAAAAGGGCGAAUGAUGUGAUAGAAAUAUAAUAACCCGGUUUAUCCGUUAUGUUUGGAAACAUUAAACACUUAUGGGUUAAUAGUACCGUGUCCGAGUGUCCUUCCUCCUUAACUAUAAUGGUCAUAUAAAAUAAGCGUGGGGUGUAGGCAUACACUUGAAAGACGCAAAUAUUGAAGAUGGUGUGUAUAUUGACCAUGUACCGACAUUUGAUUCCGGUCCCCGGCUGUAUUGGCAAGCAUGUAAAACUAGUAGAAGAAUCUAUCCCAAUGCUGGAUACGAUUCGACCAUAA
Molecule: long non-coding RNA, 1197 nt
Filed under: Helianthus annuus (common sunflower)
Lineage: Eukaryota; Viridiplantae; Streptophyta; Magnoliopsida; Asterales; Asteraceae
Description: hypothetical non coding rna
Source: RNAcentral